RNAcentral lists this ribosomal RNA (253 nucleotides) under uncultured bacterium. RNAcentral's name for it is "partial 16S ribosomal RNA". It matches the Rfam family "Bacterial small subunit ribosomal RNA", at positions 524 to 776 of the family's 1533-position model. The record is from RNAcentral.
UACGGGGGGGGCAAGCGUUGUUCGGAAUUACUGGGCGUAAAGGGCUCGUAGGCGGUCUGUCGCGUCGGCUGUGAAAUCCCGAGGCUCAACCUCGGGUCUGCAGUCGAUACGGGCAAACUAGAGUAUUGCAGGGGAGACUGGAAUUCCUGGUGUAGCGGUGAAAUGCGCAGAUAUCAGGAGGAACACCGGUGGCGAAGGCGGGUCUCUGGGCAAUAACUGACGCUGAGGAGCGAAAGCGUGGGGAGCGAACAGG